AGGAACACAUUUUAUGAAAUGACUGAUUAAAAUAAUAGUACAUGAAUUUUACAAUGCAGGUUUUCUUCUGUACCUCGUCAACAAAUGAGCCGGCUGCUCGAAAAGCGUCAACAAUGACGACGCAUCCUGAUGUUAGCCUGCUUUUACCCCAUCAAGCAGAUGUGUUGCAACAUCUCGAAGGAUGCUCUCUCUCUCUCUCUCUCUCACUUUCUUUCUGUAAAGGCAGCUCAACAUAUUUGAUGAAAUAACGUGAGAGGAGGCUCCUGUGCGUUUUUCAAAGCGUUAACUGGCCUCGGGCUCCUCUCAGCUCCUCUUGGUGCCGCGUGGACUCGUUACUGCGAGCGCCCAAUAAAGCAGCGAGCGCCAUUUAAAGUAGGGAGAUAUUUAUGGCGCUCCCCGCAAGGCCUCUCCUUCUCGUUUCGACCCACAUUCCACAUUCCUCGACGUUCGCAGGAAUGGGACGGGGGGACUUGACUGACGCGACCUGACUCGAAUCGGACUUAAGUCGCUGAUAUUGGGACUGCGGAGUUGCUAGGCUAAAACUUAAGAAAGACUGAAAGAUUGCGAAUGUGCUGGAAUAGAUGAGAAUCAAACUUGGUUGAGCUAGUUAACACAUGUACAAAUAGUGUUGAGCCUUAAGCAAUGACGAGUGCGGUAGGUAGUGUACUAUAAUACAUGUUUCAACCAUGCAUAAUUGGGCGACCCGCCUAAAGUGAUGACUUGAUUAGCCCAAGUAAUGACGAGGCUUACUUUGAAAUUUAUUGCGGAGGCUACUUGAUUUAUUCGAUUUUUGCCACAGUGUUUGGCUUUUCUUUUUUGAAAAUGUCAGCUGUGCUUUCAUCAAGCGUCACGUCCGGAGGGACGCCUGAGGCCUUCUGAGGAGAAACAUACUCGCGACGGCAUCUGCAAGACGACACCUCGGGAUGUGCCGCAGCUGCUACGUGGCGAAGCGCGAACGUGGACACGUCUCUGCAAUUAACGGGAAGAUGAAAACGCUGUGCGCGGAUGUUAUUUGCUACUGAUGACAGAACAUCCUAAGAUGCGCUCAUCAGUCCCGGGAAGGACCAAGGCGGCCGGUGGGAAUGUCCGCUGAGCUCUGACUCAUCACCUGACUCACGGAGAUGCCUUGGCAACCUAAAAUUUGGAGCUGACUGGUCGAGCGUGUUGUCCAUACGUCAUGUGAUCAAUGCCCUUGGGUGGACCUUCAUCAGUGUCGGCUGACCCAUCUCAGUCGAGGGUCAUGUCGACACACGGACACGGGGAAUCACCGCGAUUGCCGUUGCCAUAGUUACAAGAGGCCACCGCCGUUGCCGUGGAAAUGCCUGAAUGAGGUCACGCAGUACGUGGCGCCUGCAUGUCACUGUUCCAACAGCUCCACAUAAAAUAAAAGAUGCAGCUGUUUUUUUCGACAUUCCUGAAUGAAACGGAACAUUCCAGGAACUGUCCUGGCUCUCAUCAAGCUACUCCUAGCAUCGCUGAAGCGCCGCACCCCACCCGGGACAUCACUUCCUGUCCUGUAAGUGCUCUCAGCACAAAGCGAGCAGGAGCACGCCUACAGCUGGGUGGCUAACGUCACCUCGAGACAGCCCGGCCCCAGUCGCCGCGGCAACAUAGGCGUGUGCCACCACAGCUGCAUCAGACACACAGUCAACGGUCUUGAGAUUUCUGGUGGCCACGAACGUGCCACAAACUCGUCAAUGACGUCCAAACGGAACACACGUGACGGGAAACAAACUUUGAACGCCAUCCACCAUUUUCCUACCCACACGUCACACGACUCAUAAAGGUUGUGUGCGUCAUGGGGACGGCAGUGAUGGGAUUACACGCGGAGGACAAACAGUGGGAGCGUCCCCCAUCUCUUUGUCAUGCGUCCAUCUAAUCAGAGGGAAAGCUCCUCAUCCUCAUCGAAAAUAAGCCGCAAAACCCCAGUCUACUAAGCUCGCUUCGGAGGGUCACAAGUCGCAACAGAGCGCAGAUGUUUCUCAUCACCAGCGCUACAGGAGGAUAUACACUUACAUACAUACAUACUGUAUAUCCAGCUACAACAUAGGUGGGCAAAGUACUGCCCACCGAGCAUUUUCAUUAUCAAGAGCACGACGAUAUUUGUUGCAUUCAUUUAGCUGUUUUUCCCUUGAAAUUACUUAGUGA
This is a long non-coding RNA of Hippocampus comes (tiger tail seahorse), 2148 nucleotides long. RefSeq lists it as uncharacterized. The transcript has 3 exons. The record is from RefSeq and is a predicted model, not a curated record. NCBI's taxonomy places the organism in Eukaryota, Metazoa, Chordata, Actinopteri, Syngnathiformes, Syngnathidae.